GCAUGUUCACAUGAUUAAAGGUAUUCCGGUAGACGAUGGGGAUGCGUUCCAUUAGAUAGUAGGCGGGGUAACGGCCCACCUAGUCUUCGAUGGAUAGGGGUUCUGAGAGGAAGGUCCCCCACAUUGGAACUGAGACACGGUCCAAACUCCUACGGGAGGCAGCAGUGAGGAAUAUUGGUCAAUGGGCGAGAGCCUGAACCAGCCAAGUAGCGUGAAGGAUGACUGCCCUAUGGGUUGUAAACUUCUUUUGUAAAGGAAUAAAGUCGGGUAUGCAUACCCGUUUGCAUGUACUUUAUGAAUAAGGAUCGGCUAACUCCGUGCCAGCAGCCGCGGUAAUACGGAGGAUCCGAGCGUUAUCCGGAUUUAUUGGGUUUAAAGGGAGCGUAGAUGGAUGUUUAAGUCAGUUGUGAAAGUUUGCGGCUCAACCGUAAAAUUGCAGUUGAUACUGGAUAUCUUGAGUGCAGUUGAGGCAGGCGGAAUUCGUGGUGUAGCGGUGAAAUGCUUAGAUAUCACGAAGAACUCCGAUUGCGAAGGCAGCCUGCUAAGCUGCAACUGACAUUGAGGCUCGAAAGUGUGGGUAUCAAACAGGAUUAGAUACCCUGGUAGUCCACACGGUAAACGAUGAAUACUCGCUGUUUGCGAUAUACAGCAAGCGGCC
RNAcentral lists this ribosomal RNA (658 nucleotides) under uncultured bacterium. RNAcentral describes it as "bacterial SSU rRNA". It matches the Rfam family "Bacterial small subunit ribosomal RNA", at positions 187 to 848 of the family's 1533-position model. The record is from RNAcentral.